This 578-nucleotide long non-coding RNA is filed under the name Rattus norvegicus (Norway rat). Its description in RNAcentral is "long non-coding RNA NONRATT022482". Lineage: Eukaryota; Metazoa; Chordata; Mammalia; Rodentia; Muridae. The record is from RNAcentral.
GUACGAAGUGAAGUCUUCAGAAAGCCCCACGAGGGCCUAAGACAUACUGACUUUUUUUUUUUUUUCUUUUUUUCGGAGCUGGGGACCGAACCCAGGGCCUUGUGCUGACUUUCAAUCUGACUUUUAGCUUUUGAAUCAAUGCUUAUCUUUCAGUGGCUUAACUAUGACCAGAUACGUAGAACCCACUUUAUUCGAGCCACACACUCCCCAACACCCCCCCACCCCCCCAACCCUGCUAUUAAGGAGAGGUGAUAAACUCAUUCACCAAGACAAUGAGACAUUGAGGGAACCAGGAAGACCGGGAAGUGUUGGGGGCGGAGAGAGGAAUUUUACUCUCUCCCCUUUAUGGAUGUUUUACCACUUAUUUGUGGUUUGCUUAGCAAACCAGGGCCCUACAUGCUAAUCAAGUCCUCUAGCACUGAGCAACAUCCCUUUAAAUUUUAGGUAUGUUUGUGAUUUUUUGGUUUUUUUAACCCAAGAAUCCAAUCAACAUGCACAAGACAGAUUAACCUGGGGAAAAGCAUAUAUUUAUUUAAUCAAUAUAUUCGUUAUUCUUAUCAUAGCACCCUUUCUGUUGC